This 28-nucleotide small RNA is filed under the name Bombyx mori (domestic silkworm). Its description in RNAcentral is "ovarian small RNA-16055". Lineage: Eukaryota; Metazoa; Arthropoda; Insecta; Lepidoptera; Bombycidae. The record is from RNAcentral.
GAUAACAUCCAGGGCAUCACGAAACCGG